CCCGCUGAACUUAAGCAUAUCAAUAAGCGGAGGAAAAGAAACUAACAAGGAUUCCCCUAGUAACUGCGAGUGAAGCGGGAAAAGCUCAAAUUUAAAAUCUGGUGGUCUUUGGCCAUUCGAGUUGUAAUUUAGAGAAGCGUCUUCCGCGCUGGACCCGUGCACAAGUCUCCUGGAAUGGAGCGUCAUAGAGGGUGAGAAUCCCGUCUUUGGCAUGGACACACCAGGGCUUUUGUGAUGCGCUCUCGAAGAGUCGAGUUGUUUGGGAAUGCAGCUCAAAAUGGGUGGUGAACUCCAUCUAAAGCUAAAUAUUGGCGAGAGACCGAUAGCGAACAAGUACCGUGAGGGAAAGAUGAAAAGCACUUUGGAAAGAGAGUGAAACAGUACGUGAAAUUGUUGAAAGGGAAACGCUUGAAGUCAGUCACGUCGACCGAGACUCAGCCUUGCCUCGGCUUGGUGUACUUCUCGGCUGACGGGUCAGCAUCAAUUUUGCCCCUUGGAUAAUGGCGAGGGAAAUGUGACACCUUUAUGGUGUGUUAUAGUCUCUCGUCGCAUGCAAGGGUCGGGAUUGAGGAACUCAGCACGCGCCUUUGGGUGUCGGGGUCUUUGCCCACGAUACGUGCUUAGGAUGUUGGCAUAAUGGCUUUAAACGACCCGUCUUGAAACACGG
This 667-nucleotide ribosomal RNA is filed under the name uncultured fungus. Its description in RNAcentral is "eukaryotic LSU rRNA". It matches the Rfam family "Eukaryotic large subunit ribosomal RNA", at positions 24 to 664 of the family's 3401-position model. The record is from RNAcentral. Lineage: Eukaryota; Fungi.